AUUCCCCUAGUAACUGCGAGUGAAGCGGGAAGAGCUCAAAUUUAAAAUCUGGCGGUCCUGCCGUCCGAGUUGUAAUCUGGAGAAGCGUUUUCCGCGUUGGACCGUGUACAAGUCUCUUGGAAUAGAGCGUCAUAGAGGGUGAGAAUCCCGUCUUUGACACGGACUGCCAAUGCUUUGUGAUACGCUCUCGAAGAGUCGAGUUGUUUGGGAAUGCAGCUCAAAAUGGGUGGUAAAUUCCAUCUAAAGCUAAAUACUGGCGAGAGACCGAUAGCGAACAAGUACCGUGAGGGAAAGAUGAAAAGCACUUUGAAAAGAGAGUUAAACAGUACGUGAAAUUGUUGAAAGGGAAACGCUUGAAGUCAGUCGCGUCGUCCGGGAUUCAGCCUUGCUUCUGCUUGGUGUACUUCCCGGUAGACGGGCCAACAUCGAUUUUGGUCGGCGGAUAAAGGCGGGGGGAAUGUGGCACCUUCGGGUGUGUUAUAGCCCUUUGUCGGAUACGUCGGCCGGGAUCGAGGAUCGCAGCACGCCUUCAUUUGGCCGGGGUUCGCCCACGCAACGUGCUUAGGAUGUUGGCAUAAUGGCUUUAAGCGACCCGUCUUGAAACACGGACCAAGGAGUCUAACAUGCCCGCGAGUGUUAGGGUGCAAACCCUUGCGCGUAAUGAAAGUGAAAGUUGGGACCUCUGUCGAGGAGGGCACCGACGCCCGGUCUUGAGCUUCUGCGACGGAACCGCGGUAGAGCGUGCAUGUCGGGACCCGAAAGAUGGUGAACUAUGCCUGAAUAGGGCGAAGCCAGAGGAAACUCUGGUGGAGGCUCGUAGCGAUUCUGACGUGCAAAUCGAUCGUCAAAUUUGGGUAUAGGGGCGAAAGACUAAUCGA
This 878-nucleotide ribosomal RNA is filed under the name Tsugacorticium kenaicum. RNAcentral describes it as "eukaryotic LSU rRNA". It matches the Rfam family "Eukaryotic large subunit ribosomal RNA", at positions 74 to 938 of the family's 3401-position model. The record is from RNAcentral. Lineage: Eukaryota; Fungi; Basidiomycota; Agaricomycetes; Hymenochaetales; Rickenellaceae.